UCCAGGGUAGCCUAGUGGACAUGGCAUCCGUCCGGUAAGCAGAACACUGUGGUUUCGAUUCCCAUCCCUGGAC
Molecule: transfer RNA, 73 nt
Filed under: Cordylochernes scorpioides
Lineage: Eukaryota; Metazoa; Arthropoda; Arachnida; Pseudoscorpiones; Chernetidae
Description: tRNA-Thr
Rfam family: tRNA
About the family: Transfer RNA (tRNA) molecules are approximately 80 nucleotides in length. Their secondary structure includes four short double-helical elements and three loops (D, anti-codon, and T loops).
Source: RNAcentral